GAACCCAGCAAAAGGAGCUCAAUGAAUCCAGCUUCAAUCAUGAAACCUUUGGUGAGAGAGAACAUAUGUCAUCAGAGCACAAAGGUUUCUGCUGGAGAAUAUAUUAAACUGCUGUUGGAGAUGGGGGCAACAGCUGCUAGACAGAGCAAUUUACAUAGCAGAGAAACGUCCCACCCUUCCUCACCAUGCAGAGCCAUUGCUAGAGAUAAAGUAACUGGAAGAAAUCUGUCCUUGCACCAGGCAGCAGGAGACUCUGGCAGCCUGCAGAAGUCACAAGGAAUUUUUCUCAAAAUUCUUCAUGAACAGAUAAAUUUCUACAGCUAA
Molecule: long non-coding RNA, 324 nt
Filed under: Cyanistes caeruleus (blue tit)
Lineage: Eukaryota; Metazoa; Chordata; Aves; Passeriformes; Paridae
Description: lncRNA (ENSCCEG00000013283.1)
Source: RNAcentral